UCCGUAGGCGGUGCGGCAAGUCGGAAGUGAAAUCUCUGGGCUUAACUCAGAGACUGCUUCCGAAACUGCCGUGCUCGAGUGCGAGAGAGGCAAGUGGAAUUGCGGGUGUAGCGGUGAAAUGCGUAGAUAUCCGCAGGAACAUCCGAGGCGAAAGCGGCUUGCUGGAUCGCAACUGACGCUGAGGGACGAAAGCUAGGGGAGCAAACAGGAUUAGAUACCCUGGUAGUCCUAGCCCUAAACCAUCAGGACUUGGGGUUUGCCCUGUACGGGGCAAGUCCCGGAGCUAACGCGUUAAGUCCUGCGCCUGGGGAGUACGGUCGCAAGGCUGAA
Molecule: ribosomal RNA, 330 nt
Filed under: uncultured bacterium
Lineage: Bacteria
Description: bacterial SSU rRNA
Rfam family: Bacterial small subunit ribosomal RNA
Source: RNAcentral